RNAcentral lists this ribosomal RNA (1228 nucleotides) under Escherichia coli. RNAcentral describes it as "partial 23S ribosomal RNA". It matches the Rfam family "Bacterial large subunit ribosomal RNA", at positions 1 to 1268 of the family's 2925-position model. Lineage: Bacteria; Pseudomonadati; Pseudomonadota; Gammaproteobacteria; Enterobacterales; Enterobacteriaceae. The record is from RNAcentral.
GGUUAAGCGACUAAGCGUACACGGUGGAUGCCCUGGCAGUCAGAGGCGAUGAAGGACGUGCUAAUCUGCGAUAAGCGUCGGUAAGGUGAUAUGAACCGUUAUAACCGGCGAUUUCCGAAUGGGGAAACCCAGUGUGAUUCGUCACACUAUCAUUAACUGAAUCCAUAGGUUAAUGAGGCGAACCGGGGGAACUGAAACAUCUAAGUACCCCGAGGAAAAGAAAUCAACCGAGAUUCCCCCAGUAGCGGCGAGCGAACGGGGAGCAGCCCAGAGCCUGAAUCAGUGUGUGUGUUAGUGGAAGCGUCUGGAAAGGCGCGCGAUACAGGGUGACAGCCCCGUACACAAAAAUGCACAUGCUGUGAGCUCGAUGAGUAGGGCGGGACACGUGGUAUCCUGUCUGAAUAUGGGGGGACCAUCCUCCAAGGCUAAAUACUCCUGACUGACCGAUAGUGAACCAGUACCGUGAGGGAAAGGCGAAAAGAACCCCGGCGAGGGGAGUGAAAAAGAACCUGAAACCGUGUACGUACAAGCAGUGGGAGCACGCUUAGGCGUGUGACUGCGUACCUUUUGUAUAAUGGGUCAGCGACUUAUAUUCUGUAGCAAGGUUAACCGAAUAGGGGAGCCGAAGGGAAACCGAGUCUUAACUGGGCGUUAAGUUGCAGGGUAUAGACCCGAAACCCGGUGAUCUAGCCAUGGGCAGGUUGAAGGUUGGGUAACACUAACUGGAGGACCGAACCGACUAAUGUUGAAAAAUUAGCGGAUGACUUGUGGCUGGGGGUGAAAGGCCAAUCAAACCGGGAGAUAGCUGGUUCUCCCCGAAAGCUAUUUAGGUAGCGCCUCGUGAAUUCAUCUCCGGGGGUAGAGCACUGUUUCGGCAAGGGGGUCAUCCCGACUUACCAACCCGAUGCAAACUGCGAAUACCGGAGAAUGUUAUCACGGGAGACACACGGCGGGUGCUAACGUCCGUCGUGAAGAGGGAAACAACCCAGACCGCCAGCUAAGGUCCCAAAGUCAUGGUUAAGUGGGAAACGAUGUGGGAAGGCCCAGACAGCCAGGAUGUUGGCUUAGAAGCAGCCAUCAUUUAAAGAAAGCGUAAUAGCUCACUGGUCGAGUCGGCCUGCGCGGAAGAUGUAACGGGGCUAAACCAUGCACCGAAGCUGCGGCAGCGACGCUUAUGCGUUGUUGGGUAGGGGAGCGUUCUGUAAGCCUGUGAAGGUGUACUGUGAGG